GACGAACGCUGGCGGCGUGCUUAACACAUGCAAGUCGAGCGCUGAAACCUUCGGGUGGAUGAGCGGCGAACGGGUGAGUAACACGUGGGUAACCUGCCCUGUACUUCGGGAUAAGCCUGGGAAACUAGGUCUAAUACCGGAUAUGACAUCCCAAGGCAUCUUGGGGUGUGGAAAGUUCCGGCGGUACAGGAUGGACCUGCGGCCUAUCAGCUUGUUGGUGGGGUAAUGGCCUACCAAGGCGACGACGGGUAGCCGGCCUGAGAGGGCGACCGGCCACACUGGGACUGAGACACGGCCCAGACUCCUACGGGAGGCAGCAGUGGGGAAUAUUGCACAAUGGGCGAAAGCCUGAUGCAGCGACGCCGCGUGAGGGAUGACGGCCUUCGGGUUGUAAACCUCUUUCAGCAGGGACGAAGCGAAAGUGACGGUACCUGCAGAAGAAGCACCGGCUAACUACGUGCCAGCCGCCGCAGUAAAAC
This 479-nucleotide ribosomal RNA is filed under the name uncultured bacterium. RNAcentral's name for it is "bacterial SSU rRNA". It matches the Rfam family "Bacterial small subunit ribosomal RNA", at positions 28 to 526 of the family's 1533-position model. The record is from RNAcentral.